AGUCUGUUUAGCUGAUUGCCUUGCUAUUUAUCACUAAAAGAGUGCCGUAGAAAAGACUUACUUCGGUUUAAUUUGGUUCGAUUCCAGAACAGAUUG
This 96-nucleotide transfer RNA is filed under the name Chryseobacterium nakagawai. RNAcentral describes it as "tRNA-Phe(aaa)". The record is from RNAcentral. Lineage: Bacteria; Pseudomonadati; Bacteroidota; Flavobacteriia; Flavobacteriales; Weeksellaceae.